RNAcentral lists this ribosomal RNA (963 nucleotides) under Bacillus sp. (in: firmicutes). RNAcentral describes it as "bacterial SSU rRNA". It matches the Rfam family "Bacterial small subunit ribosomal RNA", at positions 58 to 1011 of the family's 1533-position model. Lineage: Bacteria; Bacillati; Bacillota; Bacilli; Caryophanales; Bacillaceae. The record is from RNAcentral.
CGAGUCGGACAGAAGGGAUGACUUGCUCCCGGAUGUUAGCGGCGGACGGGUGAGUAACACGUGGGUAACCUGCCUGUAAGACUGGGAUAACUCCGGGAAACCGGAGCUAAUACCGGAUAGUUCCUUGAACCGCAUGGUUCAAGGAUGAAAGACGGUUUCGGCUGUCACUUACAGAUGGACCCGCGGCGCAUUAGCUAGUUGGUGAGGUAACGGCUCACCAAGGCGACGAUGCGUAGCCGACCUGAGAGGGUGAUCGGCCACACUGGGACUGAGACACGGCCCAGACUCCUACGGGAGGCAGCAGUAGGGAAUCUUCCGCAAUGGACGAAAGUCUGACGGAGCAACGCCGCGUGAGUGAUGAAGGUUUUCGGAUCGUAAAGCUCUGUUGUUAGGGAAGAACAAGUGCAAGAGUAACUGCUUGCACCUUGACGGUACCUAACCAGAAAGCCACGGCUAACUACGUGCCAGCAGCCGCGGUAAUACGUAGGUGGCAAGCGUUGUCCGGAAUUAUUGGGCGUAAAGGGCUCGCAGGCGGUUUCUUAAGUCUGAUGUGAAAGCCCCCGGCUCAACCGGGGAGGGUCAUUGGAAACUGGGAAACUUGAGUGCAGAAGAGGAGAGUGGAAUUCCACGUGUAGCGGUGAAAUGCGUAGAGAUGUGGAGGAACACCAGUGGCGAAGGCGACUCUCUGGUCUGUAACUGACGCUGAGGAGCGAAAGCGUGGGGAGCGAACAGGAUUAGAUACCCUGGUAGUCCACGCCGUAAACGAUGAGUGCUAAGUGUUAGGGGUUUCCCCCCUUAGUGCUGCAGCUAACGCAUUAUCACUCCGCCUGGGGAGUACGGGUCGCAAGACUGAAACUCAAAGAAUUGACGGGGGCCCGCACAAGCGGUGGAGCAUGGGUUUAAUUCGAAGCAACGCGAGAACUUACCAGGUCUUGAUCUGACAACCCUAGAUGGCUUUCCCUC